AUUAGCUGUCAGAUAACUGCGAGUACUCUCAGAUCUGUUCAUUGUGUCUUUUUGUGUCGGGAUGUAUAAGUACCGGGCCACGUCCACUUGUAUUUUUGUCCAUCUGAUGAGUUAAGCCUUUUUCAACUGAUUUUUAUAGUUCGUUCUUAUGUUGUACUGUUAUACCACUGUCCCAGGUUAGUGGGAGGUUUGGGAUCCCGCUAACAUGUUUAACCCCGCCACAUUAUUUAUGUAUGUGCCUGUCCCAAGUCAGGAGCCUGUAAUUCAGUGGUUGUCGUUUGUUUAUGUGUUACAUAUUUGUUUUUCGUUCAUUUUUUUACAUAAAUAAGGCCGUUAAUUUUCUCGUUUGAAUUGUUUUACAUUGUCUUAUCGGGGCCUUUUAUAGCUGACUAUGCGGUAUGGCCUUUGCUCAUUGUUGAAGGCCGUACGGUGACCUAUAGUUGUUAAUGUCUAUGUCAUUUUGGUCUUUU
RNAcentral lists this long non-coding RNA (470 nucleotides) under Mytilus galloprovincialis (Mediterranean mussel). Lineage: Eukaryota; Metazoa; Mollusca; Bivalvia; Mytilida; Mytilidae. The record is from RNAcentral.